Molecule: ribosomal RNA, 253 nt
Filed under: uncultured bacterium
Lineage: Bacteria
Description: partial 16S ribosomal RNA
Rfam family: Bacterial small subunit ribosomal RNA
Source: RNAcentral
UACAGAGGGUGCAAGCGUUGUCCGGAAUCACUGGGCGUAAAGGGCGCGUAGGUGGCCUGAUAAGUAGGAGGUGAAAUCCUGGGGCUUAACCUCAGGGCUGCCUUCUAGACUGUCCGGCUCGAGCACAGUAGAGGCAGGUGGAAUUCCCGGUGUAGCGGUGGAAUGCGUAGAGAUCGGGAAGAACAUCGGUGGCGAAGGCGGCCAGCUGGGCCGUUGCUGACGCUGAGGCGCGACAGCGUGGGGAGCAAACAGG